UGCUUUCUGCUGCUGAGAUCUUGCUGAAAUAAAGACAGUCUUCUUCUUUUAUUAUAUCCUUGUGCUGGCAUAGUGUAAAUAGAGCAGAUGAUAGGAGAGCCUUAGUUUUUCUGUGGUGAUAUAUUACUUUUUACACAACUCAACAAAAGUUACCACACACAAGUGAUUGCACAUAACUGGGCACCAAAUGGAAUUUCAAGUCUCUAAGGAAGAAGAAAGUCUUGUCAAAUGCUGUCUCAGAGGCUUCAUGUCCCAGUCAAUGUGACCUGUGAGUUAAAACCCACUCAGGGAGAAAAUAAAGCUGAUUAUCUGAUGUUUCCUCAGCACAAUGGCUGUUUACUUGCUUCUCAUUAUGGCUUUCUGACACAGCACUGCAAAGCACCCAAUCCAUAGUUUGAUUACCAGUCUGGAGAGAGAGCUGCAAUUAACAGCAGAGCAGAAAUUAGAUCUGUUCCUGAAAAUCAGCUUGGCUAGAAACAAUUUAAAUUUAUAGCAUAAUAAAACAUAAAUGGUUGAAAACAUUUGGGACUUUUUUCCUCUGAUUUCCACAAUUAAUGUUUACGAUUCACAUGCAAUCAGGGUAAUACUGGUUAUAUACACAGGUGGUAUACGUACCAUUGCCACAGUGUCUCUCCAGAAAUGAGUCACUGAAUGUUCUGCCAGUCAUUCUUCAGGGGGUGUGCAAGACUGUGGAAGGCCCUGACUGCCUUUAAACCCAUUGAAGUUCACCCUAGGAGUGUGAUGAUUGCUGCCUGCCACCUCCUGCUGUCUUUCAGGGGACCUCAAGGAAUAAUUGUAACUUUGGACAAGGCAGGUUGGAUCCCAAUGCAUCUGCACAACUGCAGCUGUCAGUGACUGUGGGUAACAACAUGCGAGGAAGUUUGGUGUUUCCAUUCACUGAGAUUAUUGCUCAAAAUAGUCUGAAGCCCUGAAACAACUGUUCUAGAUAACCCAUUAAAAGUGAACCAUGCUUACAACCAGUGUGGUAUGAUUUCAAACAUGAACAUAUGCCACAUAGUGCUAGAUUGCAUUACAGAAAAAAGGUGGAUUUGGUUCACCACGGCCAUGCAACAGGGAAAAACAUCCAUCCAGAAAAAGAUGUAUCCAAGUGCUGCAACAGGAGCAGGGACAAAUAACUAUGACACAUACCAGUCAGGCUGCCAGAUUCAAAAAGCAUGCUUUAGAUUUCAGGAGGCAGAAGUGAACUAGCCUUUUGUGAAGUCUGGGAACUAAGGAUUUUUUCUGCUUAACUUUGAAUUUUUCUCUCAUGAUAAUGACAGUUCUGGAGACAUUUGUGUCCUUGUCAAAGUUGCAGAAUGGAAGAGGAUGAAGUCACAUUGCCAGUAUUUGGUUGAAAAUGUCUAGACUUCUGUGUCCUGGUCUCUGUAAUCAUGACAUUGACAUGAAUUGGGCUAUUGAAAAGAUAAAGUCUUCAGUGAGGAAUGAAAGGAAACAGCCCUGCAGCUAGUCCUUCCCCAGGAGAGCAUUUGGGCCCAAUUCCACCACUCACAUAGGACAAGGACUGUCUCCAGCAAGACAAUCGUUUUUGGUCGUAGGGGGUUAGCUGGCUGCAUGUGAAUUGACCCAUACCCCUUUGCCUCUGGGAUUGCAAAAUGAGGUCUGUCCAAUUUUAUUUACUGUUAUAAGCACUGAUUAUUUUCUCUUUUCCAGGAACUCAUAGACUUGAUUUACUUUGCUCUCAUUCCUGUAUCUGUUUUGAAACUCUCUAGCAUGCACCAGGGGCACACAACAUUCCAAAGGGUCAAUGUUCAGGGCCAGAAAAAUGUUCCUCUUUUGAAGUGUAAAUGAAACUUGGCAGUAGUGUUUCAAUCA
This is a long non-coding RNA of Pezoporus occidentalis (night parrot), 1833 nucleotides long. RefSeq lists it as uncharacterized. The transcript is spliced from 2 exons. Lineage: Eukaryota; Metazoa; Chordata; Aves; Psittaciformes; Psittacidae. The record is from RefSeq and is a predicted model, not a curated record.